This 471-nucleotide long non-coding RNA is filed under the name Homo sapiens (human). RNAcentral's name for it is "non-protein coding lnc-SIK2-3:1". Lineage: Eukaryota; Metazoa; Chordata; Mammalia; Primates; Hominidae. The record is from RNAcentral.
AGUAGGGACGAAGGCCGCCACGCUGGUUUAGCCGAAGUUGGGGAGCCGCGUUUCUGUCCCGAUGAUUAAGGCUCCCUUCUGACCCCCACUGCAGGAGUUGUAGGUCUGAACUCAAGAAGACGGGUGGGCUAAGAAAGCGAAUGGAACCCCUGCGUCCUUUCCCCAGCCGAAAGAAACAGGGACAGGGAUUCAUCCAGCUCGUUGUAGUCUGAAGGAGCCAGGAACCUACCUGAAUGAUCUGCGCUGUGCCCUCUUAAGACUCAGGCGGACCAAAGAGAGUGCCCGAGGCCAGGAGGAAAAAGGCUUUAGCACCUCCCCUGACUUCUUCCUGGCCCUGAGCCACUGGAUCUCCAGCCCUAAUUUCUCCGCUCAGACUCAAACUUCCACAGAACCCCUCCACCUCUUCCCGCGGCUCUUUCUCCAGAAUGGUAUCUGGCUCCUGCUCCGUAAGACAAAUAACGCGGGCGGUGA